GACGAACGCUGGCGGCGUGCUUAAUACAUGCAAGUCAGGGGACGGUUUUCUGGUUCUCGCACCGGAUAAUCUUAGCGGCGAACGGGUGAGUAACAGGUUAAGAACCUUCCCCGUCUCCUGGGACAACUAUUGGCAACGACUGCUAACACCUGAUAACUUCAUUAGCAUGAUUGAAGAUGUUUAAAAGGUGUUUUUGCUAACACUAUGAGAUUCCUUCGCGGUGCAUUAGCUAGUUGGUGAGGUAACGGCCUACCAAGGCGACGAUGCAUAGCCGACCUGAGAGGGUGAUCGGCCACACUGGAACUGAGACACGGCCCAGACUCCUACGGGAGGCAGCAGUAGGGAAUCUUCCGCAAUGGGCGAAAGCCUGACGGAGCAACGCCGCGUGAGUGAAGAAGGAUUUCGGAUCGUAAAGCUCUGUUGUUAGGGAAGAAUGAAUGUGUAGUAAACAGAGACCGUCGUGACGGUACCUAAUCAGAAAGCCACGGCUAACUACGUG
RNAcentral lists this ribosomal RNA (499 nucleotides) under uncultured bacterium. Its description in RNAcentral is "partial 16S ribosomal RNA". It matches the Rfam family "Bacterial small subunit ribosomal RNA", at positions 28 to 507 of the family's 1533-position model. The record is from RNAcentral.